RNAcentral lists this ribosomal RNA (253 nucleotides) under uncultured bacterium. RNAcentral's name for it is "partial 16S ribosomal RNA". It matches the Rfam family "Bacterial small subunit ribosomal RNA", at positions 524 to 776 of the family's 1533-position model. The record is from RNAcentral.
UACAGAGGGGGCAAGCGUUGUUCGGAAUUACUGGGCGUAAAGGGCGCGUAGGCGGCCGGUUAAGUCGAACGUGAAAUCCCUGGGCUCAACCCAGGAACUGCGUCCGAUACUGGCAGGCUUGAAUUCGGGAGAGGGAUGCGGAAUUCCAGGUGUAGCGGUGAAAUGCGUAGAUAUCUGGAGGAACACCGGUGGCGAAGGCGGCAUCCUGGCAUGAUACUGACGCUGAGGCGCGAAAGCGUGGGGAGCGAACAGG